This 849-nucleotide long non-coding RNA is filed under the name Gallus gallus (chicken). RNAcentral's name for it is "lncRNA (ENSGALG00010014652.1)". The record is from RNAcentral. Lineage: Eukaryota; Metazoa; Chordata; Aves; Galliformes; Phasianidae.
AUCUGUUUCAGCAAUUCUCUAACUUCAAACUCAAAGAAUCCACAGAGAAAAGUGACAGUGAUAAAGGACAAGAGAUGAUUUCUCAAGUGAUGGACAAUGUAAAGCCUUGGUCUUAAGAGAUAGGCUAUUGGGCAGUUGCUGGUCCUUUAAAAAAAAAAAAAAUCACAGAAUUACACAGAAUUUCAGGGGUUGGAAGGGACAUUUGGGUAUCAUUGAGUCCAACUCCUGGAUAAAGCAGGUUCCCUACAGUAGGUUGCACAGGAAAGAAGAAGAAAAAUAAGAAGAUGAAGAAAAAGAAAGGAAAUUGAAAUAGUAUCCAAAGGCACAGUCUCAGAAUAUCGUAUGAAGAGAAAAAAUAUCUGCCCAGAUAUGAUUACUCUGGAGACAAAGCAGUUGUACUGAUCCAAGUGCAGGCCCUCAAGGAGAGAAGUGCUAUCCGCAAUGAGUACAGAUGGCAAAAUCUUGUUCUGCUGAAUUGACCCUGCGUUUCUACACUUCCUGCUGUAGCUAUGCUAUGGUAGCAGGAGGUCUGCUCUGAUCUCUCUUCUUGUGAAAUCAUUAUCCCUGGAAAAGCUAGCUAGUCAUUAAAUAUUAAAUAAAAUUAAACUCAGUACAUGUAGUUGUUCUGACAAUUCAUUUUACUGACAGCGGAAUUUUGUUCCCACUUUUUGAAGAAAAAUGUGAAGACACUACAGAAGUGUUUCAUCGCUUCACCAAGAAGCAAAUAUCCUUUCUGUCUGUUUACCCAGGGGAGGAAAAGUUAAUCACAUGCACACUACUCCACUAUGCUGUAUCAUGAGAAAGAAGCCAAGUUCAAGUAUCCAUCAUACUGCCAUAGUACCAGCAGAG